RNAcentral lists this ribosomal RNA (509 nucleotides) under Linshcosteus sp. VH-2002. RNAcentral describes it as "partial 16S ribosomal RNA". It matches the Rfam family "Bacterial large subunit ribosomal RNA", at positions 1819 to 2597 of the family's 2925-position model. Lineage: Eukaryota; Metazoa; Arthropoda; Insecta; Hemiptera; Reduviidae. The record is from RNAcentral.
GUCCUUUUGUAUUGUUUAUUUAAGGUCUAGCCUGCCCAAUGAGGAAUUGAAUGGCCGCAGUAUCCUAACUGUGCUAAGGUAGCAUAAUCAUUGUCUUUUAAUUGAAGGCUUGAAUGAAAGGUUGGACGAGAUAUUAACUUUCUUUGAUUUAAUUUUUAGAAUUUAAUUUUUGAGUUAAAAAGCUUAAAUUUAUUUGUUGGACGAGAGACCCUAUAGAUCUUUAUAAUUUUGAUUUUUAUUAAUUUAGUGAUUGUGCUUAUGUAGAAUGAAAAAAUUAUUUUGUUGGGGUGACUGUGGAAUAUUAUUAACUUCUAUUUUUUAAAUUUCAUUAAUUAGUGUUUUUUUGAUCCAUGUUUUAUGAUUAAAAGAUUAAGUUACCUUAGGGAUAACAGCGUAAUUUCUUCGGAGAGUUCAUAUUGAUGAAGAAGUUCGCGACCUCGAUGUUGGAUUAAAAUAAGUUAUAGGCGUAGGGGCCUACUGUACUGGGUCUGUUCGACCCCUUAAUUUUU